This 468-nucleotide ribosomal RNA is filed under the name uncultured bacterium. RNAcentral describes it as "partial 16S ribosomal RNA". It matches the Rfam family "Bacterial small subunit ribosomal RNA", at positions 28 to 507 of the family's 1533-position model. The record is from RNAcentral.
GACGAACGCUGGCGGCGUGCUUAACACAUGCAAGUCGAACGGAAAGGCCCUGCUUUUGUGGGGUGCUCGAGUGGCGAAAGGGUGGGUAACCCGGUAGUAAACUGCCCUUGACUUUGGGAUAACUUCAGGAAACUGGGGCUAAUACCGGAUAGGAGCUCCUGCUGCGUGGUGGGGGUUGGAGAGUUGCGGCGGUUGGGGAUGGACUGGCGGCGUAUCGGCUUGUUGGUGGGGUGGUGGCUUGCCAGGGCUUUGACGGGUAGCCGGCCGGAGAGGGGGAUCGGCCACAGCGGGACCGAGAGAGGGCCGAGGCUGUGACGGGUGGCAGCAGUGGGGAAGAUGGCACAAUGGGCGGAAGCCUGAGGGAGCAACGCGGCGUGGGGGAGGACGGCCCUUGGGUUGGAAAUGGAGGCCGCCUGUGAUGAAGCGGGAGUGACGGUAAUGGGGAAAGAAGCACCGGCUAACUACGUG